RNAcentral lists this ribosomal RNA (459 nucleotides) under uncultured bacterium. RNAcentral describes it as "partial 16S ribosomal RNA". It matches the Rfam family "Bacterial small subunit ribosomal RNA", at positions 338 to 795 of the family's 1533-position model. The record is from RNAcentral.
CCUACGGGAGGCAGCAGUGAGGAAUAUUGGUCAAUGGGCGCGAGCCUGAACCAGCCAAGUCGCGUGAGGGAAGACGGUCCUAUGGAUUGUCAACCUCUUUUGUCGGGGAGCAAAAGACGCCACGCGUGGCGUUCCGAGAGUACCCGAAGAAAAAGCAUCGGCUAACUCCGUGUCAGCAGCCGCGGUAAUACGGAGGAUGCGAGCGUUAUCCGGAUUUAUUGGGUUUAAAGGGUGCGCAGGCGGAAGAUCAAGUCAGCGGUAAAAUUGAGAGGCUCAACCUCUUCGAGCCGUUGAAACUGGUUUUCUUGAGUGAGUGAGAAGUAUGCGGAAUGCGUGGUGUAGCGGUGAAAUGCAUAGAUAUCACGCAGAACUCCGAUUGCGAAGGCAGCAUACCGGCGCUCAACUGACGCUCAUACACGAAAGUGUGGGUAUCGAACAGGAUUAGAUACCCGAGUAGUC